Molecule: ribosomal RNA, 246 nt
Filed under: uncultured bacterium
Lineage: Bacteria
Description: partial 16S ribosomal RNA
Rfam family: Bacterial small subunit ribosomal RNA
Source: RNAcentral
CGUGGGUAACCUGCCCAAGAGACUGGGAUAACACCUGGAAACAGAUGCUAAUACCGGAUAACAACACUAGACGCAUGUCUAGAGUUUAAAAGAUGGUUCUGCUAUCACUCUUGGAUGGACCUGCGGUGCAUUAGCUAGUUGGUAAGGUAACGGCUUACCAAGGCAAUGAUGCAUAGCCUAGUUGAGAGACUGAUCGGCCACAUUGGGACUGAGACACGGCCCAAACUCCUACGGGAGGCAGCAGAC